This 259-nucleotide long non-coding RNA is filed under the name Panax ginseng (ginseng). RNAcentral's name for it is "long non-coding RNA (PGIN_LNC006645)". The record is from RNAcentral. Lineage: Eukaryota; Viridiplantae; Streptophyta; Magnoliopsida; Apiales; Araliaceae.
CUAAGUGUGAUGAUUUGGAGAAGAGUGUCCACAAAGCCGGUGGUAGACCUGUACGUAAACCUGCAAAGAGUGCCAUUUUACGGUCUCCAUAUAUAAUAGCUUUCGGAUCGGCUGGUUCAUCAUCUACUGUAGUGGGUGCUGCUAGUCAAACACUUGCACGUUUAAGUGCAUUCCCCAAAUCAUGCAUGGAGAUGCCCUUAAAUUUUGAAGAGGCAUUGUUUGAAGAAUGGUUCAAAAUUGGAAUAAACAACAAAAAAAG